RNAcentral lists this ribosomal RNA (644 nucleotides) under Amphidoma languida. RNAcentral describes it as "partial large subunit ribosomal RNA". It matches the Rfam family "Eukaryotic large subunit ribosomal RNA", at positions 36 to 656 of the family's 3401-position model. The record is from RNAcentral. Lineage: Eukaryota; Dinophyceae; Gonyaulacales; Amphidomataceae.
AAGCAUAUAAGUAAGCGGAGGAAAAGAAACUAAAUAGGAUUCCCUUAGUAAUGGCGAAUGAACAGGGAUCAGCUCAGUAUGGAAAUCGGGGCUUCCCAGCCUUGAAUUGUAGUCUCAAGAGGUAUCGCCAACGGAGGCGCAGAUGUAAGCCUCUUGGAAAAGAGCAUCAAUGAGGGUGAGAAUCCCGUUUGUCAUCUGCAGUCCCCCGUGCACGGUGUAUCUUCUAAGAGUCGCGUUCCUCGGGAUUGGAGCGUAAAGUGGGUGGUAAAUUUCAUCUAAGGCUAAAUAUGGGUUCGAGACCGAUAGCAAACAAGUACCAUGAGGGAAAGAUGAAAAGGACUUUGAAAAGAGAGUUAAAAGUGCCUGAAAUUGCUGAAAGGGAAGCGAAUGGAACCAGUGCUCUUGGCGAGAUUGUUGUGCGCUAUGGUGAUUGCUGGCUGCUUCAGCGCAAGCGGGGUAGUUGGUACUGAGCCUGCCGCGCGCAGUGUUUCUUACCUUGUGCGUCACCGUCGGUUCACAGGCGAGGAUACUUCUGAGGACAUGGUAACUCUUCCACGGAGGUGUGAAUGUCUUUGGUAAUACUCGUUUGUAGACCGCUCACCUUCGGGUUACGAUGACUAAAUGGUUCUAUUCGACCCGUCUUG